UUCAAAAGAGGAUCUGCUCCUAGUACGAGAGGACCAGAGUGGACGAACCUCUGGUGUACCGGUUGUGACGCCAGUCGCAUCGCCGGGUAGCUAUGUUCGGAAGGGAUAACCGCUGAAAGCAUCUAAGCGGGAA
This 133-nucleotide ribosomal RNA is filed under the name Acinetobacter baumannii. RNAcentral describes it as "partial 23S ribosomal RNA". It matches the Rfam family "Bacterial large subunit ribosomal RNA", at positions 2665 to 2791 of the family's 2925-position model. Lineage: Bacteria; Pseudomonadati; Pseudomonadota; Gammaproteobacteria; Moraxellales; Moraxellaceae. The record is from RNAcentral.